AGUGAACGCUGGCGGUAGGCCUAACACAUGCAAGUCGAACGGCAGCACAGUAAGAGCUUGCUCUUACGGGUGGCGAGUGGCGGACGGGUGAGGAAUACAUCGGAAUCUACUUUUUCGUGGGGGAUAACGUAGGGAAACUUACGCUAAUACCGCAUACGACCUACGGGUGAAAGCAGGGGAUCUUCGGACCUUGCGCGAUUGAAUUAGCCGAUGUCGGAUUAGCUAGUUGGCGGGGUAAAGGCCCACCAAGGCGACGAUCCGUAGCUGGUCUGAGAGGAUGAUCAGCCACACUGGAACUGAGACACGGUCCAGACUCCUACGGGAGGCAGCAGUGGGGAAUAUUGGACAAAGGGCGCAAGCCUGAUCCAGCCAUACCGCGUGGGUGAAGAAGGCCUUCGGGUUGUAAAGCCCUUUUGUUGGGAAAGAAAAGCAGCAGGUUAAUACCCCGCUGUUCUGACGGUACCCAAAGAGUAAGCACCGGCUAACUUCGUG
Molecule: ribosomal RNA, 492 nt
Filed under: uncultured bacterium
Lineage: Bacteria
Description: partial 16S ribosomal RNA
Rfam family: Bacterial small subunit ribosomal RNA
Source: RNAcentral